AAGAUUUUUAUACCCCACCUACGAUAGUAGAGGGGCAUUAUGUUUUCUGGUCUGUGCCUCCGUUCGUCCGUCCGGUUAAAGUUUUUGGUCGAGGUAGUAUUUGAUGGAGCUGAAGUCCAAUCAACUUGAAACUUAAUACACAUGUUCCCCAUGAUAUGAUCUUUCUAAUUUUAAUGCCAAAUUAUAGUUUUGACCCCAAUUUCAUGGUCCACUGAACAUAGAAAAUGAUAGUGCAAAGUUCAGGUUAAAGUUUUUGGUCAAGGUAGUUUUUGAUGAAGUUAAAGUUACAUCAACUUGAAUCUUAGUACACAUGUUCCCUAUGAUAUGAUCUUUCUAAUUUUAAUUCCAAAUUAAAGUUUUUACCCCAAUUUCACGGUCCACUGAACAUAGAAAAUGAUAGUGGGAGUGGGGCAUCCGUGUACUAUGGACACAUUCUUGUUAA
RNAcentral lists this long non-coding RNA (442 nucleotides) under Mytilus galloprovincialis (Mediterranean mussel). The record is from RNAcentral. Lineage: Eukaryota; Metazoa; Mollusca; Bivalvia; Mytilida; Mytilidae.